RNAcentral lists this transfer RNA (87 nucleotides) under hydrothermal vent metagenome. RNAcentral describes it as "tRNA-Leu-CAA". It matches the Rfam family "tRNA". From Rfam's summary of the family: Transfer RNA (tRNA) molecules are approximately 80 nucleotides in length. The record is from RNAcentral.
GCCCCCCUGGCGGAACUGGUAGACGCGCCAGACUCAAAAUCUGGUUCUCGCAAGGGAGUGCCGGUUCGAUUCCGGCGGGGGGCACCA